Gossypium arboreum is the source of this 313-nucleotide long non-coding RNA. RefSeq lists it as uncharacterized. The transcript is spliced from 2 exons. The record is from RefSeq and is a predicted model, not a curated record. Lineage: Eukaryota; Viridiplantae; Streptophyta; Magnoliopsida; Malvales; Malvaceae.
GUUGUCAUCUUUUCAUCUUUCUUCUUCAUCCACCGAAAAUGGCUGCAAACAUAGGGCUUUUGAGAGCCGAAACUUUCAGCCACUUAGUUCUCUUGCAAAUUGGGAGAGACGAGAUCUGGACAAAGAAUGAGGGAAAACAAAGUGUUGGGUUAGUCGACUUAAUUAAUUAUUUCAGCGAACGAGGUAUGUUCAUAUGGUUAGUUGACAAUGAUCAAUUAUUAAAUUAGAAAUGAUAUAAUGUAUUAUUAUUACGUACAAUUGUUAUCAAAUCAUGAUAAUAUGAGAUUGAAUUGAAAGAUCAAUUUAAGAAAAA